CAAAAAGUGAAAUGACGCCUACAGCUGGUUGGGGUGGAAAUGCCUUCUCCCGCCUGGAGGCUGGGAUAUAUUGGCAGGUCCUGUGAGCUAAGCUGUUCCCAGGGGGACGAGUUCCAUCCUUCUGUGACAUCCCUCUCUCUGUUUCUCCUCUUUGGUCCUGCCCUGGAGUCUCCGAAGACCACCGUUGUUAUGGGAGCCUUCUUCUUCCAAGUUCCUUUUCUGGUCGUGUGGCCCUAACCAUGUCCCUUCCCCUCUGCCGCGUCAGUUGCCCCAUCUGGCUAAUGGGUGCGAUAAAUGAAGUGGUGGCUGGCGCUGACUGUCAUGCAUUCUGGGGCCCCCCCGUGCCGUCACAAAGGCCCCAAGGAGGGAGAAGGCCAGCCGUUACCAGGCUUCCCGGCGGACAGCGUGAGGCAGAAGGUAGCUCUCGGUGAGAUGGGGAGACCAAGGCCAAUAGUCUCCCUCGUUAGCCCAAGUGUGGCUCUGGGUGGCACAGAGCCAGCUGGGACUCUCACUUUUCUCAUUCUGGUCCCUGUGCUCCUGUGAACGUGACCUGAGACCUCAACAGCUGUGUCAGUGAAAGUGAUAGAAGCUGUCCACUGCGGGACUCCUCACAACACUGAGGGGCAGCCCUGGAGAAGGACAGACCCCCCUUGCAGUCCCACAGAGCCUUUGCCUGGCUGAGCCCAGCUAGUGGCGGUGAUGUCAGGCCUGCCUGCUGGUUGGGCAGGCCAAGCGGCAAUGGCCCCGGGGCCCGACAGGUGCACAGGAGGGGCAGGCCUGAGCUAUGGAUCUGGCUCUUAAAGACUGUUGAGCACAACCUUGCCCUGGCUGGGCCUCCACAGGCAUUGGGAUGGGCACUUGGGAAGCGUCACAUGGCUUUGGCACUUGGCCAGUUCUAGCUGGGAGAAGCACAACUGUGCUAGAAUCAGGAUCAUCUUGGAAGCUCAGCUCUGCCCUCGGGCUCCUUGAAAAAGACCCAGAGACCAUCCCUCAGGCAGCAAAUGGAGAUGCAGGCACUCGGUCCCCAAGCGUGGGUUGGGGCCCACUUCUAAGCCAGGCCCUGUGGGAGACAGAGAAAUGAGGCAGAAAAUCUGCAGUCACGUAGCCAGAGCACGAGCAAAAGGAGAAAUCUUGACCUGAGGUGACCACGGAACCAAAGAUCCUCCUUCAUGAGCAACCCAAGGAUGGGGACACGACCAGCUCUUGAAAGUCAGGCUCUUACCAGAAGAGAAGGGUCCCUCAUUCAAGAAGAUCCAUUGUUAAAAUUCCUUCCCCACCUCAUCAAAAAUGUUUAGAACCCUGCCGUAAAAGCUUAGAACCUCACGAUAAAAGUUUAGAACUUUACCAUAAAUGUUUGAAGCUCACCAAUCAAAAUCUGCCCCACCAGCAUUUCCACGUGCCAGCCUGUUCUCCCUAACCUCUUAAAUUUUACCCCAAAUCCUGAAUCGGGGAGAUGGAUCUGAGGGCACACACCCCCUGUCUCUCUGUAGGUCAAUCUCACAGAAUAAAG
RNAcentral lists this long non-coding RNA (1510 nucleotides) under Equus caballus (horse). Its description in RNAcentral is "lncRNA (ENSECAG00000047674.1)". Lineage: Eukaryota; Metazoa; Chordata; Mammalia; Perissodactyla; Equidae. The record is from RNAcentral.